GCGGAUAUAACUCAGUGGUCAGAGUGCUCGACUCAUUAUUUGAGGGCCCGGGUUCGAAUCCUGUACUUUUAACUUUUUUUUGCU
This 84-nucleotide transfer RNA is filed under the name Rhamnusium bicolor. RNAcentral's name for it is "tRNA-OTHER". Lineage: Eukaryota; Metazoa; Arthropoda; Insecta; Coleoptera; Cerambycidae. The record is from RNAcentral.